UACGUAGGGGGCAAGCGUUGUUCGGAAUUACUGGGCGUAAAGGGCGCGUAGGCGGCCUUGUAAGUCUCGUGUGAAAGCCCUCGGCUUAACUGAGGAUCUGCACGGGAUACUGUAAGGCUCGAGUUCGGGAGAGGAAAGCGGAAUUCCGGGUGUAGCGGUGAAAUGCGUAGAUAUCCGGAGGAACACCAGUGGCGAAGGCGGCUUUCUGGACCGACACUGACGCUGAGGCGCGAAAGCUAGGGGAGCAAACGGG
RNAcentral lists this ribosomal RNA (253 nucleotides) under uncultured bacterium. RNAcentral's name for it is "partial 16S ribosomal RNA". It matches the Rfam family "Bacterial small subunit ribosomal RNA", at positions 524 to 776 of the family's 1533-position model. The record is from RNAcentral.